Molecule: ribosomal RNA, 2901 nt
Filed under: Escherichia coli DEC15A
Lineage: Bacteria; Pseudomonadati; Pseudomonadota; Gammaproteobacteria; Enterobacterales; Enterobacteriaceae
Description: bacterial LSU rRNA
Rfam family: Bacterial large subunit ribosomal RNA
Source: RNAcentral
UAAGCGACUAAGCGUACACGGUGGAUGCCCUGGCAGUCAGAGGCGAUGAAGGACGUGCUAAUCUGCGAUAAGCGUCGGUAAGGUGAUAUGAACCGUUAUAACCGGCGAUUUCCGAAUGGGGAAACCCAGUGUGUUUCGACACACUAUCAUUAACUGAAUCCAUAGGUUAAUGAGGCGAACCGGGGGAACUGAAACAUCUAAGUACCCCCGAGGAAAAGAAAUCAACCGAGAUUCCCCCAGUAGCGGCGAGCGAACGGGGAGCAGCCCAGAGCCUGAAUCAGUGUGUGUGUUAGUGGAAGCGUCUGGAAAGGCGCGCGAUACAGGGUGACAGCCCCGUACACAAAAAUGCACAUGCUGUGAGCUCGAUGAGUAGGGCGGGACACGUGGUAUCCUGUCUGAAUAUGGGGGGACCAUCCUCCAAGGCUAAAUACUCCUGACUGACCGAUAGUGAACCAGUACCGUGAGGGAAAGGCGAAAAGAACCCCGGCGAGGGGAGUGAAAAAGAACCUGAAACCGUGUACGUACAAGCAGUGGGAGCACGCUUAGGCGUGUGACUGCGUACCUUUGUAUAAUGGGUCAGCGACUUAUAUUCUGUAGCAAGGUUAACCGAAUAGGGGAGCCGAAGGGAAACCGAGUCUUAACUGGGCGUUAAGUUGCAGGGUAUAGACCCGAAACCCGGUGAUCUAGCCAUGGGCAGGUUGAAGGUUGGGUAACACUAACUGGAGGACCGAACCGACUAAUGUUGAAAAAUUAGCGGAUGACUUGUGGCUGGGGGGUGAAAGGCCAAUCAAACCGGGAGAUAGCUGGUUCUCCCCGAAAGCUAUUUAGGUAGCGCCUCGUGAAUUCAUCUCCGGGGGUAGAGCACUGUUUCGGCAAGGGGGUCAUCCCGACUUACCAACCCGAUGCAAACUGCGAAUACCGGAGUAUGUUAUCACGGGAGACACACGGCGGGUGCUAACGUCCGUCGUGAAGAGGGAAACAACCCAGACCGCCAGCUAAGGUCCCAAAGUCAUGGUUAAGUGGGAAACGAUGUGGGAAGGCCCAGACAGCCAGGAUGUUGGCUUAGAAGCAGCCAUCAUUUAAAGAAAGCGUAAUAGCUCACUGGUCGAGUCGGCCUGCGCGGAAGAUGUAACGGGGCUAAACCAUGCACCGAAGCUGCGGCAGCGACGCUUAUGCGUUGUUGGGUAGGGGAGCGUUCUGUAAGCCUGCGAAGGUGUGCUGUGAGGCAUGCUGGAGGUAUCAGAAGUGCGAAUGCUGACAUAAGUAACGAUAAAGCGGGUGAAAAGCCCGCUCGCCGGAAGACCAAGGGUUCCUGUCCAACGUUAAUCGGGGCAGGGUGAGUCGACCCCUAAGGCGAGGCCGAAAGGCGUAGUCGAUGGGAAACAGGUUAAUAUUCCUGUACUUGGUGUUACUGCGAAGGGGGGACGGAGAAGGCUAUGUUGGCCGGGCGACGGUUGUCCCGGUUUAAGCGUGUAGGCUGGUUUUCCAGGCAAAUCCGGAAAAUCAAGGCUGAGGCGUGAUGACGAGGCACUACGGUGCUGAAGCAACAAAUGCCCUGCUUCCAGGAAAAGCCUCUAAGCAUCAGGUAACAUCAAAUCGUACCCCAAACCGACACAGGUGGUCAGGUAGAGAAUACCAAGGCGCUUGAGAGAACUCGGGUGAAGGAACUAGGCAAAAUGGUGCCGUAACUUCGGGAGAAGGCACGCUGAUAUGUAGGUGAAGUCCCUCGCGGAUGGAGCUGAAAUCAGUCGAAGAUACCAGCUGGCUGCAACUGUUUAUUAAAAACACAGCACUGUGCAAACACGAAAGUGGACGUAUACGGUGUGACGCCUGCCCGGUGCCGGAAGGUUAAUUGAUGGGGUUAGCGCAAGCGAAGCUCUUGAUCGAAGCCCCGGUAAGCGGCGGCCGUAACUAUAACGGUCCUAAGGUAGCGAAAUUCCUUGUCGGGUAAGUUCCGACCUGCACGAAUGGCGUAAUGAUGGCCAGGCUGUCUCCACCCGAGACUCAGUGAAAUUGAACUCGCUGUGAAGAUGCAGUGUACCCGCGGCAAGACGGAAAGACCCCGUGAACCUUUACUAUAGCUUGACACUGAACAUUGAGCCUUGAUGUGUAGGAUAGGUGGGAGGCUUUGAAGUGUGGACGCCAGUCUGCAUGGAGCCGACCUUGAAAUACCACCCUUUAAUGUUUGAUGUUCUAACGUUGACCCGUGAUCCGGGUUGCGGACAGUGUCUGGUGGGUAGUUUGACUGGGGCGGUCUCCUCCUAAAGAGUAACGGAGGAGCACGAAGGUUGGCUAAUCCUGGUCGGACAUCAGGAGGUUAGUGCAAUGGCAUAAGCCAGCUUGACUGCGAGCGUGACGGCGCGAGCAGGUGCGAAAGCAGGUCAUAGUGAUCCGGUGGUUCUGAAUGGAAGGGCCAUCGCUCAACGGAUAAAAGGUACUCCGGGGAUAACAGGCUGAUACCGCCCAAGAGUUCAUAUCGACGGCGGUGUUUGGCACCUCGAUGUCGGCUCAUCACAUCCUGGGGCUGAAGUAGGUCCCAAGGGUAUGGCUGUUCGCCAUUUAAAGUGGUACGCGAGCUGGGUUUAGAACGUCGUGAGACAGUUCGGUCCCUAUCUGCCGUGGGCGCUGGAGAACUGAGGGGGGCUGCUCCUAGUACGAGAGGACCGGAGUGGACGCAUCACUGGUGUUCGGGUUGUCAUGCCAAUGGCACUGCCCGGUAGCUAAAUGCGGAAGAGAUAAGUGCUGAAAGCAUCUAAGCACGAAACUUGCCCCGAGAUGAGUUCUCCCUGACUCCUUGAGAGUCCUGAAGGAACGUUGAAGACGACGACGUUGAUAGGCCGGGUGUGUAAGCGCAGCGAUGCGUUGAGCUAACCGGUACUAAUGAACCGUGAGGCUUAACCU